AUGCUUGAUUUGGCAGCACAUAUGCUAAAAUUGGAGCAAUACAGAGAAGAUUAGCAUGGCCCCUGCACAAAAAUGACAUGCAAAUUUGUGAAGUAGUCCAUGUGUUA
Molecule: small nuclear RNA, 107 nt
Organism: Arvicola amphibius (Eurasian water vole)
Lineage: Eukaryota; Metazoa; Chordata; Mammalia; Rodentia; Cricetidae
Source: RefSeq, a predicted model, not a curated record